Molecule: ribosomal RNA, 245 nt
Filed under: uncultured bacterium
Lineage: Bacteria
Description: partial small subunit ribosomal RNA
Rfam family: Bacterial small subunit ribosomal RNA
Source: RNAcentral
AGAAUCAACGCUGGCGGCGUGCCUAACACAUGCAAGUCGAACGAGAAAGUGGGAGCAAUCCCAUGAGUAAAGUGGCGCACGGGUGAGUAACACGUGACUAACCUACCCUUGAGUGGGGGAUAACCUAGGGAACCUGGGCUAAUACCGCAUAAUACCUACGGGUCAAAGGAGCAAUUCGCUUUAGGAGGGGUCGCGGCAGAUUAGUUAGUUGGCGGGGUAAUGGCCCACCAAGACAGUGAUCUGUA